GGUUUAAUAGUGUAGUGGUUAUCACGUUGCCUUUACACGGCAAAGGUCUCGAGUUCAAACCUCGGUUAAAUCA
RNAcentral lists this transfer RNA (73 nucleotides) under Maudiozyma exigua. RNAcentral's name for it is "tRNA-Val". It matches the Rfam family "tRNA". From Rfam's summary of the family: Transfer RNA (tRNA) molecules are approximately 80 nucleotides in length. Their secondary structure includes four short double-helical elements and three loops (D, anti-codon, and T loops). The record is from RNAcentral. RNAcentral also lists the same sequence under 1 other name. Lineage: Eukaryota; Fungi; Ascomycota; Saccharomycetes; Saccharomycetales; Saccharomycetaceae.